ACACUCCUACGGGAGGCAGCAGUGGGGAAUUUUGGACAAUGGGGGCAACCCUGAUCCAGCAAUGCCGCGUGAGUGAAGAAGGCCUUCGGGUUGUAAAGCUCUUUUGUCAGGGAAGAAACGGUGGUGGCGAAUAACUACUACUAAUGACGGUACCUGAAGAAUAAGCACCGGCUAACUACGUGCCAGCAGCCGCGGUAAUACGUAGGGUGCAAGCGUUAAUCGGAAUUACUGGGCGUAAAGCGUGCGCAGGCGGUUGUGUAAGUCAGAUGUGAAAUCCCCGGGCUCAACCUGGGAAUUGCAUUUGAGACUGCACGGCUAGAGUGUGUCAGAGGGGGGUAGAAUUCCACGUGUAGCAGUGAAAUGCGUAGAUAUGUGGAGGAAUACCGAUGGCGAAGGCAGCCCCCUGGGAUAACACUGACGCUCAUGCACGAAAGCGUGGGGAGCAAACAGGAUUAGAAACCCCGGUAGUCCCAUGA
This 476-nucleotide ribosomal RNA is filed under the name uncultured organism. RNAcentral's name for it is "partial 16S ribosomal RNA". It matches the Rfam family "Bacterial small subunit ribosomal RNA", at positions 333 to 800 of the family's 1533-position model. The record is from RNAcentral.